AGUGAACGCUGGCGGUAGGCCUAACACAUGCGAGUCGAACGGCAGCACAGUAAGAGCUUGCUCUUACGGGUGGCGAGUGGCGGACGGGUGAGGAAUACAUCGGAAUCUACUUUUUCGUGGGGGAUAACGUAGGGAAACUUACGCUAAUACCGCAUACGACCUACGGGUGAAAGCAGGGGAUCUUCGGACCUUGCGCGAUUGAAUGAGCCGAUGUCGGAUUAGCUAGUUGGCGGGGUAAAGGCCCACCAAGGCGACGAACCGUAGCUGGUCUGAGAGGAUGAUCAGCCACACUGGAACUGAGACACGGUCCAGACUCCUACGGGAGGCAGCAGUGGGGAAUAUUGGACAAUGGGCGCAAGCCUGAUCCAGCCAUACCGCGUGGGUGAAGAAGGCCUUCGGGUUGUAAAGCCCUUUUGUUGGGAAAGAAAAGCAGCAGGUUAAUACCCCGCUGUUCUGACGGUACCCAAAGAAUAAGCACCGGCUAACUUCGU
RNAcentral lists this ribosomal RNA (491 nucleotides) under uncultured bacterium. Its description in RNAcentral is "partial 16S ribosomal RNA". It matches the Rfam family "Bacterial small subunit ribosomal RNA", at positions 29 to 506 of the family's 1533-position model. The record is from RNAcentral.